Schizosaccharomyces pombe (fission yeast) is the source of this 266-nucleotide non-coding RNA. NCBI's taxonomy places the organism in Eukaryota, Fungi, Ascomycota, Schizosaccharomycetes, Schizosaccharomycetales, Schizosaccharomycetaceae. The record is from the annotation of a GenBank genome assembly.
AAUUCUGCCUCAAAACGGCCAAGAGUAUCAGCAUCUUCACUGGCUCUACAAUUUUUAAUUCUUCGUACAAGCUUUUGCCGUUCAAAGGUAGAUGCCUUUUUCAAUGCCUGUGAUAUUUUUUUCUUAAAUAGAGGUAUCUUUUUUGGAACAUCAUCGACACUUAAUUGAGAGUGAUGACUUUUUCUUUUGACGCCUUUGUGAGACGUAAAAACCAUUUAAAAAAUUAUGCAAACCCUGAGUAUAACCCACUAAAAUCCAAAAAAACC